AAAUUGAAGAGUUUGAUCAUGGCUCAGAUUGAACGCUGGCGGCAGGCCUAACACAUGCAAGUCGAACGGUAACAGGAAGCAGCUUGCUGCUUUGCUGACGAGUGGCGGACGGGUGAGUAAUGUCUGGGAAACUGCCUGAUGGAGGGGGAUAACUACUGGAAACGGUAGCUAAUACCGCAUAACGUCGCAAGACCAAAGAGGGGGACCUUCGGGCCUCUUGCCAUCGGAUGUGCCCAGAUGGGAUUAGCUAGUAGGUGGGGUAACGGCUCACCUAGGCGACGAUCCCUAGCUGGUCUGAGAGGAUGACCAGCCACACUGGAACUGAGACACGGUCCAGACUCCUACGGGAGGCAGCAGUGGGGAAUAUUGCACAAUGGGCGCAAGCCUGAUGCAGCCAUGCCGCGUGUAUGAAGAAGGCCUUCGGGUUGUAAAGUACUUUCAGCGGGGAGGAAGGGAGUAAAGUUAAUACCUUUGCUCAUUGACGUUACCCGCAGAAGAAGCACCGGCUAACUCCGUGCCAGCAGCCGCGGUAAUACGGAGGGUGCAAGCGUUAAUCGGAAUUACUGGGCGUAAAGCGCACGCAGGCGGUUUGUUAAGUCAGAUGUGAAAUCCCCGGGCUCAACCUGGGAACUGCAUCUGAUACUGGCAAGCAGUCUCGUAGAGGGGUAGAAUUCCAGGUGUAGCGGUGAAAUGCGUAGAGAUCUGGAGGAAUACCGGUGGCGAAGGCGGCCCCCUGGACGAAGACUGACGCUCAGGUGCGAAAGCGUGGGGAGCAAACAGGAUUAGAUACCCUGGUAGUCCACGCCGUAAACGAUGUCGACUUGGAGGUUGUGCCCUUGAGGCGUGGCUUCGGAGCUAACGCGUUAAGUCGACCGCACGGGAGUACGGCCGCAAGGUUAAAACUCAAAUGAAUUGACGGGGCCCGCACAAGCGGUGGAGCAUGUGGUUUAAUUCGAUGCAACGCGAAGAACCUUACCUGGUCUUGACAUCCACGGAAGUUUUCAGAGAUGAGAAUGUGCCUUCGGGAACCGUGAGACAGGUGCUGCAUGGCUGUCGUCAGCUCGUGUUGUGAAAUGUUGGGUUAAGUCCCGCAACGAGCGCAACCCUUAUCCUUUGUUGCCAGCGGUCCGGCCGGGAACUCAAGGAGACUGCCAGUGAUAAACUGGAGGAAGGUGGGGAUGACGUCAAGUCAUCAUGGCCCUUGACCGGGCUACACGUGCUACAAUGGCGCAUACAAGAGAAGCGACCUCGCGAGAGCAAGCGGACCUCAUAAAGUGCGUCGUAGUCCGGAUUGGAGUCUGCAACUCGACUCCAUGAAGUCGGAAUCGCUAGUAAUCGUGGAUCAGAAUGCCACGGUGAAUACGUUCCCGGGCCUUGUACACACCGCCCGUCACACCAUGGGAGUGGGUUGCAAAGAAGUAGCAACCUUCGGGAGGGCGCUUACCACUUUGUGAUUCAUGACUGGGGUGAAGUCGUAACAAGGUAACCGUAGGGGAACCUGCGGUUGGAUCACCUCCUUACCUUAAAGAAGC
This 1532-nucleotide ribosomal RNA is filed under the name Escherichia coli. Its description in RNAcentral is "bacterial SSU rRNA". It matches the Rfam family "Bacterial small subunit ribosomal RNA". The record is from RNAcentral. Lineage: Bacteria; Pseudomonadati; Pseudomonadota; Gammaproteobacteria; Enterobacterales; Enterobacteriaceae.